This 545-nucleotide ribosomal RNA is filed under the name uncultured archaeon. RNAcentral's name for it is "bacterial SSU rRNA". It matches the Rfam family "Bacterial small subunit ribosomal RNA", at positions 509 to 1050 of the family's 1533-position model. The record is from RNAcentral.
CAGCAGCCGCGGUAAUACGUAGGUGGCGAGCGUUGUCCGGAAUUACUGGGUGUAAAGGGAGCGCAGGCGGGGAGACAAGUCAGCUGUGAAAACUAACGGCUUAACCGAUAGAGUGCAGUUGAAACUGUUUUUCUUGAGUGGAGCAGAGGCAGGCGGAAUUCCGAGUGUAGCGGUGAAAUGCGUAGAUAUUCGGAGGAACACCAGUGGCGAAGGCGGCCUGCUGGGCUUUAACUGACGCUGAGGCUCGAAAGUGUGGGGAGCAAACAGGAUUAGAUACCCUGGUAGUCCACACUGUAAACGAUGAUUGCUAGGUGUGGGGGGUCUGACCCCCUCCGUGCCGGAGCUAACGCAAUAAGCAAUCCACCUGGGGAGUACGGCCGCAAGGUUGAAACUCAAAGGAAUUGACGGGGGCCCGCACAAGCAGUGGAUUAUGUGGUUUAAUUCGAAGCAACGCGAAGAACCUUACCAGGUCUUGACAUCCGGCUAACGAGGCAGAGAUGCGUCAGGUGCCCUUCGGGGAAAGUCGAGACAGGAGGUGCAUGGCC